RNAcentral lists this ribosomal RNA (130 nucleotides) under uncultured bacterium. Its description in RNAcentral is "partial 16S ribosomal RNA". It matches the Rfam family "Bacterial small subunit ribosomal RNA", at positions 338 to 464 of the family's 1533-position model. The record is from RNAcentral.
CCUACGGGAGGCAGCAGUGGGGAAUAUUGGGCAAUGGGGGAAACCCUGACCCAGCAACGCCGCGUGAGGGAAGAAGGUUUUCGGAUGGUAAACUUCUUCCUUGGUGAAGAGGAAGAGGCGUACCAAGAGA